This 906-nucleotide ribosomal RNA is filed under the name Triticum aestivum (bread wheat). Its description in RNAcentral is "partial small subunit ribosomal RNA". The record is from RNAcentral. Lineage: Eukaryota; Viridiplantae; Streptophyta; Magnoliopsida; Poales; Poaceae.
AUGCUACUGAACCGCAUGCACGGGGUGAGGAAAAAAAAGACGCCACCCAGUUAUCCUCCUCGUCCCCAUGCGCAUUCCCCAAUCCCUCCCACCUUCUUCCUCCCCUGCUCGUGCCCGGUUGACCAACUUCCUUCCCGCAUCGGAGCCCCACCAGAGCAACCCCGCCGCCGGCCAUUGCGCCCCAGCCCACCUCGCACCGCCACUGCCCCUCCCGCGCCGCGCAACUCUCCCCUACGCUGGAUCCAUGGUGGCCACGGCCCUCCCGCGCCGCCCAACUCUCCCCUACGCCGGAUCCAUUGCGGCCACGGCCCUCCCGCGCCGCCCAACUCUCCCCUACGCCGGAUCCAUGGCGGCCACGGCCCUCCCGCGCCGCCCAUCCUCUCCAACACCGGAUCCAUGGAGGCCACAACCCCUCCCGUGCACUGUCGGCGAUGGAUCCGGGCACUACCGCCAGGCCGCUCAAGGACGGCGAUGAAUCGGACCUCCACCGCCACCCCGCGAAUGGCCGACGAUGGAUCUGGGCACCAUCUUCACCCGUCACGCCGCCCCUCGCCGGCGACGGAGCAAGCGGCUCCACUUCGGUAUAGGCUCCGGCGCCGCCCUUCCCCGACCAAAUCAACCUGCUGCUGCUGCCUCUCAUCUUCUUCGGGCUUGCCUCCCAUGGCCUUCCCACGUGCACUGUCUCCUCGCCGGCGGCUGCGCCCACCACCUCUCCGUGGCCCCUCUUUGGUUCUCCUCCUGCUAGCAAGCCGGCUCAGGCAGCACGCUCCAGCCAUGGUGAGCCUCCCGCGUGUGCCUGUGCAGUGCACGGUUCCUCGAGGUGCAGUGCGGCGGGUGUGCGUGCACCCCAGGUCAAAGCAACAGUGCAGUAAUGAGGAUGGAAGCGCAGGUGGCAGUGCACGGUGA